Molecule: ribosomal RNA, 225 nt
Filed under: uncultured bacterium
Lineage: Bacteria
Description: partial 16S ribosomal RNA
Rfam family: Bacterial small subunit ribosomal RNA
Source: RNAcentral
GCAAGUCGAGCGCCCUACUUCAGUAGGGAGCGGCGGACGGGUGAGUAACACGUAGGUAAUCUACCCUUUGGUGGGGAAUAGCCCGAGGAAACUCGGAUUAAUACCGCAUAUGGUCCACGGAUCAAAGCCUUCGGGCGCCAGAGGAUGAGCCUGCGUCCCAUUACCUAGUUGGUAGGGUAACGGCCUACCAAGGGAGCGAUGGGUAGCUGGUCUGAGAGGAUGAUC